This 497-nucleotide ribosomal RNA is filed under the name uncultured bacterium. Its description in RNAcentral is "partial 16S ribosomal RNA". It matches the Rfam family "Bacterial small subunit ribosomal RNA", at positions 28 to 507 of the family's 1533-position model. The record is from RNAcentral.
GAUGAACGCUGGCGGCGUGCCUAAUACAUGCAAGUCGAGCGAACGGACGAGAAGCUUGCUUCUCUGAUGUUAGCGGCGGACGGGUGAGUAACACGUGGAUAACCUACCUAUAAGACUGGGAUAACUUCGGGAAACCGGAGCUAAUACCGGAUAAUAUUUUGAACCGCAUGGUUCAAAAGUGAAAGACGGUCUUGCUGUCACUUAUAGAUGGAUCCGCGCUGCAUUAGCUAGUUGGUAAGGUAACGGCUUACCAAGGCAACGAUGCAUAGCCGACCUGAGAGGGUGAUCGGCCACACUGGAACUGAGACACGGUCCAGACUCCUACGGGAGGCAGCAGUAGGGAAUCUUCCGCAAUGGGCGAAAGCCUGACGGAGCAACGACGCGUGAGUGAUGAAGGUCUUCGGAUCGUAAAACUCUGUUAUUAGGGAAGAACAUAUGUGUAAGUAACUGUGCACAUCUUGACGGUACCUAAUCAGAAAGCCACGGCUAACUACGUG